UUUAGAUGAUAUUUUUUCAAGUCUGUAUGAUAAGGUUGAUCAAGUGUACAAUGUUCACCCGGCAUUGAAUUCUUCGGAUGAUGAACAAAAGUCAGCUAAACUUGAUCCAGAUAGUGUCAUUGUGCUUGAUGACAGCGAAUUUGAUGAAAUACAGUGGGAAUUCCAGGAGGCUUCAGUAACAAAAAAUGGCGAUCAGGAUUCUGCAUUACGG
RNAcentral lists this unclassified non-coding RNA (211 nucleotides) under Hevea brasiliensis (rubber tree). Lineage: Eukaryota; Viridiplantae; Streptophyta; Magnoliopsida; Malpighiales; Euphorbiaceae. The record is from RNAcentral.